AGUGGCAGACGGGUGAGUAACAUGUGGGUAUCUUCCCUUUGGUGAGGAAUAACACGAGGAAACUUGUGCUAAUACCUCAUAAGUCUUUACGGAGAAAGCUUUAUGCGCCAAUGGAUGAGCCCGCACUUGAUUAGUUUGUUGGUGGGGUAAUGGCCUACCAAGACUUUGAUCAAUAGCUGAUUUGAGAGGAUGAUCAGCCACAUUGGGACUGAGACACGGCCCAAACUCCUACGGGAGGCAGCAGUAAGGAAUCUUGCACAAUGGAGGAAACUCUGAUGCAGCGAUGCCGCGUGAGUGAAGAAGGCCUUUGGGUUGUAAAGCUCUUUCGUCGGGGAAGAAAAUGACUGUACCCGAAUAAGAAGGUCCGGCUAACUUCGUGCCAGCAGCCGCGGUAAUACGAAGGGACCUAGCGUAGUUCGGAAUUACUGGGCUUAAAGAGUUCGUAGGUGGUUAAAAAAGUUGGUGGUGAAAUCCCAGAGCUUAACUCUGGAACUGCCAUCAAAACUUUUUAGCUAGAGUAUGAUAGAGGAAAGCAGAAUUUCUAGUGUAGAGGUGAAAUUCGUAGAUAUUAGAAAGAAUACCAAUUGCGAAGGCAGCUUUCUGGAUCAUUACUGACGCUGAGGAACGAAAGCAUGGGUAGCGAAGAGGAUUAGAUACCCUCGUAGUCCAUGCCGUAAACGAUGUGUGUUAGACGUUGGAAAUUUAUUUUCAGUGUCGCAGCGAAAGCGAUAAACACACCGCCUGGGGAG
Molecule: ribosomal RNA, 749 nt
Filed under: uncultured Pelagibacteraceae bacterium
Lineage: Bacteria; Pseudomonadati; Pseudomonadota; Alphaproteobacteria; Candidatus Pelagibacterales; Candidatus Pelagibacteraceae
Description: bacterial SSU rRNA
Rfam family: Bacterial small subunit ribosomal RNA
Source: RNAcentral